ACAUGCUGAAAUCAAUUGUCGCUCUCCCGCCCGAGAUUUUCUUGCUGGCCCACCCAGCCAGCGCCUAUCUCUCUAUCGCCCAUGACCAUCUUAUCUUCUCUCUCUCUCCCUUCCCAGCGCUAAAAUGCAUGCAAUGAGUAUCCAAAAAUAGCUCGCCAGCAGCACAAGCCUCCACGGAAGCAGGAAAAGAAAAAAGAAGAAAAAAAACCGGAAAAAGCAAAGAACAAGAAAAUAAGAAAUACGCCUUGGAAUAGGUGCAGUCGGCAUAAGCUCUGCUGAACUUUGGAUUGCCCGGUUCCGUUCCUGGAGCUUAAACCUCAAUCAACUCUCU
RNAcentral lists this small RNA (331 nucleotides) under Histoplasma capsulatum var. duboisii H88. RNAcentral describes it as "Histoplasma capsulatum H88 hypothetical RNA". The record is from RNAcentral. Lineage: Eukaryota; Fungi; Ascomycota; Eurotiomycetes; Onygenales; Ajellomycetaceae.